UACGUAGGGAGCAAGCGUUGUCCGGAAUCAUUGGGCGUAAAGCGCGCGUAGGUGGCCUCGUAAGUCCGCUGUGAAAGUCAAAGGCUCAACCUUUGAAAGCCGGUGGAUACUGUGAGGCUAGAGUACGGAAGAGGCGAGUGGAAUUCCUGGUGUAGCGGUGGAAUGCGCAGAUAUCAGGAGGAACACCAAUAGCGAAGGCAGCUCGCUGGGACGGUACUGACGCUGAGGCGCGAAAGCGUGGGGAGCAAACAGG
Molecule: ribosomal RNA, 253 nt
Filed under: uncultured bacterium
Lineage: Bacteria
Description: partial 16S ribosomal RNA
Rfam family: Bacterial small subunit ribosomal RNA
Source: RNAcentral